UACCAGCACCCCGAGUGGUCGGGACGUUUAUUGGGCCUAAAGCAUCCGUAGCCGGUUCUACAAGUCUUCCGUUAAAUCCACCUGCUUAACAGAUGGGCUGCGGAAGAUACUAUAGAGCUAGGAGGCGGGAGAGGCAAGCGGUACUCGAUGGGUAGGGGUAAAAUCCGUUGAUCCAUUGAAGACCACCAGUGGCGAAGGCGGCUUGCCAGAACGCGCUCGACGGUGAGGGAUGAAAUCUGGGGGAGCAAACCGG
Molecule: ribosomal RNA, 253 nt
Filed under: uncultured bacterium
Lineage: Bacteria
Description: partial 16S ribosomal RNA
Rfam family: Archaeal small subunit ribosomal RNA
Source: RNAcentral